AGAGUUUGAUCCUGGCUCAGGAUGAACGCUGGCGGCGUGCCUAACACAUGCAAGUCGAACGGUUAAACCGCCCUUCGGGGCGGACAUACAGUGGCGAACGGGUGAGUAACACGUGACCAACCUGCCCCGCACCCCGGGACAACCGCCGGAAACGGCGGCUAAUACCGGAUACUCUCCGAGGCGCGCAUGCGCCACGGAGGAAAGCUCCGACGGUGCGGGAUGGGGUCGCGGCCCAUUAGGUAGUAGGCGGGGCAACGGCCCACCUAGCCUGCGAUGGGUAGCCGGCCUGAGAGGGCGAUCGGCCACAUUGGGACUGAGAUACGGCCCAGACUCCUACGGGAGGCAGCAGUGGGGAAUAUUGCGCAAUGGGGGAAACCCUGACGCAGCAACGCCGCGUGCGGGAUGACGGCCUUCGGGUUGUAAACCGCUUUCAGCAGGGAAGAACAUCGACGGUACCUGCAGAAGAAGCCCCGGCUAACUACGUG
RNAcentral lists this ribosomal RNA (485 nucleotides) under uncultured Coriobacteriaceae bacterium. Its description in RNAcentral is "bacterial SSU rRNA". It matches the Rfam family "Bacterial small subunit ribosomal RNA", at positions 8 to 507 of the family's 1533-position model. The record is from RNAcentral. Lineage: Bacteria; Bacillati; Actinomycetota; Coriobacteriia; Coriobacteriales; Coriobacteriaceae.